RNAcentral lists this ribosomal RNA (205 nucleotides) under uncultured Pseudomonadota bacterium. Its description in RNAcentral is "uncultured proteobacterium partial 16S ribosomal RNA". It matches the Rfam family "Bacterial small subunit ribosomal RNA", at positions 293 to 490 of the family's 1533-position model. The record is from RNAcentral. Lineage: Bacteria; Pseudomonadati; Pseudomonadota.
UGAGAGGAUGACCAGCCACACUGGAACUGAGACACGGUCCAGACUCCUACGGGAGGCAGCAGUGGGGAAUAUUGCGCAAUGGGCGCAAGCCUGAUGCAGCCAUGCCGCGUGUAUGAAGAAGGCCUUCGGGUUGUAAAGUACUUUCAGCGGCGAGGAAGGGAGUAAAGUUAAUUCCGUUACUCAUUGACGUUACCCGCAGAAGAAG